RNAcentral lists this ribosomal RNA (249 nucleotides) under uncultured bacterium. RNAcentral describes it as "partial 16S ribosomal RNA". It matches the Rfam family "Bacterial small subunit ribosomal RNA", at positions 15 to 257 of the family's 1533-position model. The record is from RNAcentral.
GAUCCUGGCUCAGGACGAACGCUGGCGGCGCGCCUAACACAUGCAAGUCGAACGGAGUCAAGAGGAGCUUGCCUUUCUUGACUUAGUGGCGAACGGGUGAGUAACGCGUGAGUAACCUGCCCUGGAGUGGGGGACAACAGUUGGAAACGACUGCUAAUACCGCAUAAGCCCACGGCCCGGCAUCGGGCUGAGGGAAAAGGAUUUAUUCGCUUCAGGAUGGACUCGCGUCCAAUUAGCUAGUUGGUGAGG